UUAUAGAAAGUGAUAUAUCACAUUAAGUUUCGACCUUAAAACUGGAUCUUUUCCUCAUAAU
This 61-nucleotide transfer RNA is filed under the name Euphaedusa planostriata. Its description in RNAcentral is "tRNA-Arg". The record is from RNAcentral. Lineage: Eukaryota; Metazoa; Mollusca; Gastropoda; Stylommatophora; Clausiliidae.